GACAGAGGGUGCAAACGUUGUUCGGAAUUACUGGGCGUAAAGCGUGUGUAGGCGGCCGCGCAAGUCGGAUGUGAAAGCCCUGGGCUCAACUCAGGAAGUGCACCCGAUACUGCGUGGCUCGAGUACCGGAGAGGUUGGUGGAAUUCUCGGUGUAGAGGUGAAAUUCGUAGAUAUCGAGAGGAACACCUGUGGCGAAGGCGGCCAACUGGACGAGUACUGACGCUGAGACACGAAAGCGUGGGGAGCAAACAGG
This 253-nucleotide ribosomal RNA is filed under the name uncultured bacterium. Its description in RNAcentral is "partial 16S ribosomal RNA". It matches the Rfam family "Bacterial small subunit ribosomal RNA", at positions 524 to 776 of the family's 1533-position model. The record is from RNAcentral.